Long non-coding RNA from Apis mellifera (honey bee), 2798 nucleotides. RefSeq lists it as uncharacterized. The transcript has 2 exons. Lineage: Eukaryota; Metazoa; Arthropoda; Insecta; Hymenoptera; Apidae. The record is from RefSeq and is a predicted model, not a curated record.
GUGUUUUUAAAAUAAAACUGGCGUUAUUUUAUGUAAUUUAAUUAAAUGGAUUAAUUUAAUUGUAUAUAGUUUGAUCUAGGCGAGAAAUUUAAUGUUAGUUUCGAACUUGAUAAAAUUAUUAACUCGAAAUGUUUGGAUUGAUAUAAUGUUAAACUUGAGUAAUUGUUGAAAAAAGAUAAAAGAAAAAUGUCACGUCGAAAUUAACGAGUUUUUACAUUGAAUUGACUGUACAAAUGUGAUUGUUGAGGAAUGUAUAUACAUCAUGGACGAUCAUUCUUUCUUUUUUUUCUUUAUCGUGUAAGAAUUCGUAUUAUUUUUAUUUUAUAUAUUUUUAUAAAUUUUUCAUUUUAUAAUCUUUCUUCAAUCUAAUAUUUCGAGACAAGAUCUCGUAACCCAGUUACAGAAGAGGAUUAUAUUAUUAUUCUUACAUGAUGAGGAAUUGCAUAAUUGAAUUAUAAUUAGAAUAGUAGGGCAGAGUAACAAAUCAAGAAGUCGGAGAAGAGGACGAAAUAAGUAGGGCCAACAAUUUCACAAAUUGUAUCAUACGGAAACGAGGAAUUACAAAACGACUGUUUAAAAGAAUAUUAAAAAAUGAAAUUUAACGUCCUUGGAAGCUUGGAAAUCGCACGUUAAAAAUCUGCGUAACUUCACGAAUGGAACGCUACCAGCGGUGCUUUCACUUCUCCACCUCUCUCUGCUCAACUUUCGCGUAACGAUCCUUCCUCCUUUUUUUUCUUUCUUUUCCCUCAUUUACUUGAUUACGUGAACACGGUGAAAUUUUGUCAAGCAUACGUGUAAGUGUACCAACCGCUGAAAGAGGCCUUCGUGUCCCACAGAGUCGCAACGUUCCUCUUUGUCCUUUUUCUCUCUUCUGUCCACGUGGAAAAAAACAAACGAGACGAUUUCAAUGCGAAACGAGGGAUUUUUGUUAAUUGUGUUAAAAAUGUAUUACGUAUCCGGUUUACCGUACGUAAACUCGCGGGAAACACCUUGCGAAAAUUUUCCUUGUUCCAAGUUGGAGAGAGGAAAAAAAUUAUUCUCGUAUUUCUUCACUCGUGUGUGUGUGUAUACCCGUGUUGUUAUAUCGACAGGGUUGAAAACAGGGUUAUUAUAUCGAUUUUUAUUCGUAACCUUUUCACGCUACGGUAUUCUUAGAAUUGAAUUUUUUUCUUUUUUUUUUUUUUCAGAUUGAAACUCUAAUACUGAAAGAGAGAAAGAAAAAAGAACAUACGUUACAAUGGGUAUAAAUAGAGAUAAUUUUAUGUAUGAUUUUUAUUAUAGAGGACUUAUAAACAGUAUGUUUAGUAAUUAAUUAUACGUUCUCAAAAUAGAAAUGUUCUCAAACGUUACAAACGUUAUAUAAAAUAAGAGGUCGAUGUGAAAUAAAAACGUACGUGUAAUUUUCGAUAUUGUAUACAGAUGGCGCAACGAGAGAAUUAAAUAUGUAUAAAUUAUAUUUCAUAUAUAUAUAUUAUAAAUUGACAAAUAUUCGACGAUCAAUCGACGAAAUUUAUUUGGAAAAUUUUUUAUUAAUUUUUCCUUCUCUUUUUCAGAUAAGUAAAUGUUUAAGAAGAAUCUGUACGUAAAUAUUAUUACAUUCGAAUCAAUAAAUAAUCUGCAUAUAAAAAUGAUAGAAUAACUCGAGAAUUUUUAUUCACCGUAUAACGGCAUCGUGUGGCAACAGAUGUUUGCCAGGGCUGUUUAAAUAAUAAGUCUCAUAUACGAUUACACGAUAAAACGUACAAAUAUUAUUUCUAUUUUUAACGUAUUUUCGUGCGUGAUAAAAUAAAACUUUUAAUAAGGAAAUGAAACAAAAUUUCCUUUCGGAAUUAUAAUCGAAAUUAUAAUCGAAUAAGGGGAAAGAAGCAGCAUUUAUGAAGCGAGGACAUUUCAAUGAAAAGUCAUCAUCCCCAUACAUUUCAAAUAACAAAAUACGUAUUUUGCUCUCGAAUUGUGUUUCCACGCGAUGCGCGUGUCAAUGAUAAAAUCGUGUGUGUCGCGCGUGUCGAGGGCGCGAUAAAUCGAUCGAAGUUUUCGAGUUAAAAGGGUUUCCACGUGAAAUUAACACGCGGGGGUCCUUCGCGAGCGUCCCCGGCCCUGACUGCCGGCCGAGAGAAUCCAUGUCAAGGUAGUAGAAACAACCACGAGCACCGUCCACGCGCCUCCCUCAAUCUGGAUUACCGUUCAUGGAUUCUUCGACCACUUGCUAAACACGCUUUUCGCACAUUUCGUCAAACCAAAUAUACAUCGUGAUAAUUAAAGAUAUCUCAAAUCAUAUUCCAGAUAAAUAUAAUUUAAAUGUCUCGAAUUUACGCAUUCACGUAUCAAUUUUCAAUGGGAGAAAAGAAAAAUGUAAAGGAUAAGUGACGAUUUUUUAAAAAAAUUUUUUUUUAAAAAUUGAAGAAGAAGAAAUGAAGUAUUGCAUCUUUCUUAUAUUAUAACACAAUAUCCAUUAUCCAUGGAUGAAUGAUUUUUAAGAAAAUUCUUGUUUCAGAAAGGACAGGAAAGUCCACUUUCUGAAACCGUGAUGUAACACAUUGCAUGAUUAAGGAAAAAGCUUUACCCGAUUAAGAUCUGGGGGGAGAGAAAAAAAAAAAAUAAAUUUCAGAGGGGAAACGAUGGAGGAAAGAUUUCUCGGCCUCUUUCUAUAUUUAGACCCUCCUCGUCUCCGAUUUUAAUUUCGGAAUAUCGUCUCGAUGUCAGGAAUUCAGCCGUCUCCUAAAUCGAGAUGUUUAACGCAAUCACUCCCUCUCGCGAUUGAAUCGUGCACCAUUUAUCGAAGAACAAAAAAAAAAAAA